This is a non-coding RNA of Paramuricea clavata, 1753 nucleotides long. The record is from the annotation of a GenBank genome assembly. Lineage: Eukaryota; Metazoa; Cnidaria; Anthozoa; Malacalcyonacea; Plexauridae.
GUACCAUACAUGAUUUUAGAUCAAAAUUUCAAAUUUAUAUGGGGGGCGAAUUUCCUAAGGGGGUAUUCCUAGGAUAUUCGCCCCCUUUUGAGAGGGGUGUGUGAAUUUCCUGGGGGGGGGGGCGAAACUCCUGUGACACCGGUCACCUUCAGAGACAUUGCCCAGAGCGAAAUGUUACGGUUUAAUUUGAACGUUAACGUGUGUCAUUGAAAAUUUGUAAUGUUAGGUUUUGACAAUAUAUAUUUGAUCAUUUGUCUGUGUAUUAAUUUUUACUUUCGUUAUGUUUUUUUUUUGUUGGUGAGCAUUGAUACCGUUGUUAUCUUUGAGAUUUCGCUCCACGCGUGUAUGAUUCGGUAAUGCAUGCGUGUGGAUUCGGGUUGAAACUGUCAACACUUUCAUGUAUAACGGUUUGGCUACAGUUUUGUUUGUUGUUUAUUCCCAUAUUCGUACAUUUUGCUUCUUUUCCAUUGUGCCGGCUCACAAUGCCUUGGGUCGGUUUUUCGUGUGUACCGUAGUCUUACUUUUCUUAAUGGUAUUCCCGCUCCGAAGCGCCAAAGAACUAGUGACAAACAGGCGUUUUCCAGUGGGCAUCACCCGAGGUCAAGUAUCCGAUGGUGUGAUUGGAAAGGCUCGCCCAUGUCUUUUGUCGGCCCUAGACCCUCUCCGCUGAUGGUGUCGCGUGGUCAGGUCUUUGCAAGCCAACGUACGUUUUCCGCGACCCUUCCUCAUUUGUCCCUGGGGAAUUGCACAAGCAUGACAACCAGUGGGAAAGGAUUGUCCCUGUGGGUGAGGCGGAAGAAGUCCUCUCUUUUGUUUUUUAUUUUCUUUUAUUUUUUUGUUAAUGUCUGGCCAUAUUUCCGGCCGUUUAAAGGGAAUUUUGCGCGCCAGCGUUAUGAAUCAGCCUAUCCACCCUCCCGAGAAUUCCCAAAUAGUCCGUCCUUUGACCGUUUCAAGGAUUUUGUUCAUGCAAAUAUCAUUAUUUAUUUAUUAUUAAACGGUUUACUAAAAUCAAGUCAUCUCGCAGCCCGGAGGCUGAAUUACAUGAUUUUAACAAUAAUUAUAUUAAAAAAUAUAUAACUUUACAAUUAGAUCUUACUGAGGAUAAAAAUACUGAGGUAAAAAUAUUAUAAAUGUGGAAUAAAAAAAAACCGAUAAUUGGACUAGUUCUAUAAGAGACUUGAUAUAAUGUAAGUGUUUUUAAAUCUAUUUGUAUUACACCUUGGAAUAUUAAAAAAGUUUGGAUUUCUUAAGUUGUAAGUAUUUGAAUGCUUUGUAGGUAAGAGAUGAUGAAUUUUAUGUUUGUCAUUCACUAUUGAUUUGAAGACUUUAGUACAUAAUCCUUUCCUUCUUGUCUUCAAAGUUUCCAUAUCUAAUUCUUCAAUGGCUUCUGAAUACGACAAGUCCGGGCAUAUGAUGCGCAAAGCUCUCUUCUGAAUCCGCUCUAUUUGGUCUGACAGAUAUUCCGGGAGACCGUAAUGAAACACUUGACACGCGUAUUCAAGGAUACCGGAUCUUAUAGAAGCAAUGUAGAAACAUUUUAAAUCAUUGUCACUAAGACCCGAUGUCUUUAGUUGUUUCAUCGCUUCGCUGCUUUAGUUGCUAUCUUAUCCACAUGGGCAUUCCACUUCAUGUCUUGAGUGAUCAAUAAACCGAGAAUCAUUGCUUUUUCAACACGCUCUACGUUAAUUCCGUUUAUCUUUAUCGGCGGGAAAACAGGUUCACUACAAUCUCAUUUUGUCGGGUUGAGUUCAAU